RNAcentral lists this ribosomal RNA (253 nucleotides) under uncultured bacterium. RNAcentral's name for it is "partial 16S ribosomal RNA". It matches the Rfam family "Bacterial small subunit ribosomal RNA", at positions 524 to 776 of the family's 1533-position model. The record is from RNAcentral.
GACGUAGGAUGCAAGCGUUGUCCGGAUUUAUUGGGCGUAAAGAGUUCGUAGGUGGUUCGUUAAGUCUGGUGUAAAAGACUGGGGCUCAACCCUGGGAUCGCACUGGAUACUGGCGGACUGGAGUGUAGUAGAGGCAAGCGGAAUUCCCAGUGUAGCGGUGAAAUGCGUAGAUAUUGGGAAGAACACCGGUGGCGCAAGCGGCUUGCUGGGCUAUAACUGACGCUGAGGAACGAAAGCUAGGGGAGCAAAUGGG